Molecule: ribosomal RNA, 301 nt
Filed under: uncultured bacterium
Lineage: Bacteria
Description: partial 16S ribosomal RNA
Rfam family: Bacterial small subunit ribosomal RNA
Source: RNAcentral
CAGUCGCCACGGUAAUACGUAGGUGGCAAGCGUUGUCCGGAAUUAUUGGGCGUAAGGGGCUCGCAGGCGGUUUCUUAAGUCUGAUGUGAAAGCCCCCGGCUCAACCGGGGAGGGUCAUUGGAAACUGGGAAACUUGAGUGCAGAGGAGGAGAGUGGAAUUCCACGUGUAGCGGUGAAAUGCGUAGAGAUGUGGAGGAACACCAGUGGCGAAGGCGACUCUCUGGUCUGUAACUGACGCUGAGGAGCGAAAGCGUGGGGAGCGAACAGGAUUAGAUACCCGCGUAGUCCCUGUCUCUUAUAC